UGUUUGCAUUCCUUUGUUUGAACUUUGAGUCGCAGAAAUUUUGAGGAUUAAGACCAUCAGGUGAAGGGCAGGUCUAUAUCCACAAUUUCUAGUCUGAAUUGUGUUUGGUGGGCCUUAAUGAGAGAGUAGGUAGAACUCGAUGAACAACCAUUUAAAAUUUUAGCUUGUGCCAGAAUAAGGCAUCAUGGGUGAUGAUAUCGAGUCACUCAAGGAAGUAUUAUCUUGGACCUGUGGAACAUCACGUUUUUUGUGUUUCACACAUUGCAUUGCUUUAAAAUGUUAUGGAUUUGAAAACAGUCUAUGCCGCAAAUUCUAUAAUACUGUUGGUUGGCAUUACUCUUGAAUAUGCAUAAACUGACAUAAUGGUUAAAACUUUGUCAUAGAUGCUGCAAAAUUAAAUGCAUAUCUUUGUUGAUGUGAAAAUUUUCUGUUGCUUUUUAGGUCAUAUAGGCCUGGGAAUGUUUGUAUUAUAUUUUUACAUGUCCCUUUUGGUUUCAGUGCAAACGAGAAGGCUUUUUCCAAAAGGUCAAAGAUGAAGAAGGUGAAGGAUGUAAUAUAUAUGGAUCUCUGGAAGUAAAUAAAGUGGCUGGAAAUUUUCAUUUUGUACUUGGGAAAAGCCUUCAUCACUCAAACGUCGAUGUGCAAGAUUUGCUGGCUGUUAAAUCAUAUAGUUAUAAU
Molecule: unclassified non-coding RNA, 678 nt
Filed under: Hevea brasiliensis (rubber tree)
Lineage: Eukaryota; Viridiplantae; Streptophyta; Magnoliopsida; Malpighiales; Euphorbiaceae
Source: RNAcentral